RNAcentral lists this ribosomal RNA (119 nucleotides) under Pteropus alecto (black flying fox). The record is from RNAcentral. Lineage: Eukaryota; Metazoa; Chordata; Mammalia; Chiroptera; Pteropodidae.
GUCUACGGCCAUACCACCCUGAACAAGCCUGAUCCUAUCUAAUCUCAGAAGCUAAGCAGGGUCGGGCCUGGUUACUACUUGGAUAGGAGAUCACCUAGGAAGACCAGGUGCUGUUGGUG